CGGGUCGGCCAGACGGUCGCGUCGCGUGCCGCGAGGUGCGCGCCGAGGAACGUCCGGGCUCCGCAGAGCAGGGUGGUGGGUAACACCCACCCGGAGUGAUCCGCGAGAAAGUGCAACAGAGAGUAGACCGCCCAGGUGCCUUCGGGUGCCGGGGUAAGGGUGAAACGGUGGUGUAAGAGACCACCAGGGGCCCGAGUGAUCGGGCUCGCUGGGUAAACCUCGCCCGGAGCAAGGUCAGACAGACACCGAUGAGGCUGCUCGCCGAGGUGUCGGGUAGACCGCUGGAGGGCUGCGGCGACGUAGUCCCGAGAGAGAUGGCCGUCCGAUCAGGCCGCGCUGCGAAGCGCGGUGCCGAUCGACAGAACCCGGCGUAUCGGCCGGCCCGUUCG
This 389-nucleotide RNase P RNA is filed under the name Leifsonia xyli. RNAcentral's name for it is "RNase P RNA component class A". It matches the Rfam family "Bacterial RNase P class A". Rfam says of the family: Ribonuclease P (RNase P) is a ubiquitous endoribonuclease, found in archaea, bacteria and eukarya as well as chloroplasts and mitochondria. Its best characterised activity is the generation of mature 5'-ends of tRNAs by cleaving the 5'-leader elements of precursor-tRNAs. The record is from RNAcentral. Lineage: Bacteria; Bacillati; Actinomycetota; Actinomycetes; Micrococcales; Microbacteriaceae.